UACGUAGGGGGCAAGCGUUGUCCGGAUUUAUUGGGCGUAAAGAGCGUGUAGGCGGCCAGGUAGGUCCGUUGUGAAAACUCGAGGCUCAACCUCGAGACGUCGGCGGAAACCCUCUGGCUAGAGUCCGGAAGAGGAGAGUGGAAUUCCUGGUGUAGCGGUGAAAUGCGCAGAUAUCAGGAGGAACACCCGUAGCGAAGGCGGCACUCUGGGCCGAUACUGACACUGAGGAGCGAAAGCGUGGGGAGCGAACAGG
RNAcentral lists this ribosomal RNA (253 nucleotides) under uncultured bacterium. RNAcentral's name for it is "partial 16S ribosomal RNA". It matches the Rfam family "Bacterial small subunit ribosomal RNA", at positions 524 to 776 of the family's 1533-position model. The record is from RNAcentral.